RNAcentral lists this microRNA precursor (84 nucleotides) under Bombyx mori (domestic silkworm). RNAcentral describes it as "mir-2807 microRNA precursor family". It matches the Rfam family "mir-2807 microRNA precursor family". Lineage: Eukaryota; Metazoa; Arthropoda; Insecta; Lepidoptera; Bombycidae. The record is from Rfam by way of RNAcentral.
UUAACUUAAAUUUGUAUGAAAUUGGAAUGUUUACCUGCGUUUGCCGCUAGGGGCGCUGUUCCAACUGCAUACAAAUUUGAGUUA